This 915-nucleotide ribosomal RNA is filed under the name Triticum aestivum (bread wheat). Its description in RNAcentral is "partial small subunit ribosomal RNA". Lineage: Eukaryota; Viridiplantae; Streptophyta; Magnoliopsida; Poales; Poaceae. The record is from RNAcentral.
AUGGAGGAUGUAGCUCCACCAUCUGAAGCUGAAGCUAGUACCAGAUCCCAACCAGAGCGAAGUGAUACCUGCACACCAUCUUAUCACCAUCCUUCAGAUAACGGUCCUCCCCUCCCGAACAAUUGGCCUCCAUCACCCCCACCAUUGCCAUCAUCUCCUCCACCUGUUCCCGUUGCUCAGAGAACGCAGUUGCAGGCAACUUCACAAAUGGCAUCUGAUCCAGUUGGGCCGCAUCCGGCAGUUGCUACUUAUAAUGUUCAAAGUCAGCAGCCACAUUCUAUCGUGGAGCACCCACACAGCAUGAAUCUCUCGGUAGCUCCGUUGCAGCCUCCAUCAUUCUGCAAUUUGGGAUAUGGCGUGCAUCGAAAUCAGAUUGCACCACUCAAUUCAACUGGACCUCAUGGCAAUUUCGCUACACCACCAGCACCAUACCAUGGAAAUAACUACCAUCAACGUCCCACUGCAUCAAUGCCUAAUGAGGGAUAUCAUAUGCAGCGACCGCCCCCUCCGCCUCCAAGUCAAUUCCCUCAUAUGCCAUCAGAACCUAAUAAAAGACCACAACAAUGGAGUAAUAACUCCUUGUCUUAUCCUGAGAGCCAUCGUUAUAAUGGGCAUGAUCGAUAUCAUCACAGACAUGAUAGCAUGCAUCACGGGAAUGAUAGGAGACACCACUUGAAUGAUAGAGGGUAUCACCAUGAUGAAAGAGGACAUCAUCACUUUGACGAGAGAGCUAUUUGGGGACCGAUGCUCCAUGACCCUGACAGGGGAAGAUUUCCUCCUUUUCCGCCAGGACCACCUGCUCCAGACCAUUUUGAAGCAUCUGCAGCGCCAAUGCAAUUUGGACGUCCAUCAGAUCCCCCGCCAGGUGGGUGGUGUAUGGAUCUUCAAGUUCCUCAUGUGGCAGGAGUUCCUUAG